GAUGAACGCUGGCGGCGUGCCUAAUACAUGCAAGUCGAGCGAACAGACGAGGAGCUUGCUCCUCUGACGUUAGCGGCGGACGGGUGAGUAACACGUGGAUAACCUACCUAUAAGACUGGGAUAACUUCGGGAAACCGGAGCUAAUACCGGAUAAUAUAUUGAACCGCAUGGUUCAAUAGUGAAAGACGGUUUUGCUGUCACUUAUAGAUGGAUCCGCGCCGCAUUAGCUAGUUGGUAAGGUAACGGCUUACCAAGGCAACGAUGCGUAGCCGACCUGAGAGGGUGAUCGGCCACACUGGAACUAAGACACGGUCCAGACUCCUACGGGAGGCAGCAGUAGGGAAUCUUCCGCAAUGGGCGAAAGCCUGACGGAGCACCGCCGCGUGAGUGAUGAAGGUCUUCGGAUCGUAAAACUCUGUUAUUAGGGAAGAACAAAUGUGUAAGUAACUAUGCACGUCUUGACGGUACCUAAUCAGAAAGCCACGGCUAACUACGUG
RNAcentral lists this ribosomal RNA (497 nucleotides) under uncultured bacterium. RNAcentral describes it as "partial 16S ribosomal RNA". It matches the Rfam family "Bacterial small subunit ribosomal RNA", at positions 28 to 507 of the family's 1533-position model. The record is from RNAcentral.